CUACGGGUUGCAGCAGUGGGGAAUAUUGCACAAUGGGGGAAACCCUGAUGCAGCAACGCCGCGUGAAGGAAGAAGGCUCUUGGGUUGUAAACUUCUUUGAAUGGGGACGAAACAAAUGACGGUACCCAUAAAACAAGCCACGGCUAACUACGUGCCAGCAGCCGCGGUAAUUCGUAGGUGGCAAGCGUUAUCCGGAAUUACUGGGUGUAAAGGGCGUGUAGGCGGGAGAGCAAGUCAGAUGUGAAAUGCCAAGGCUUAACCAUGGAACUGCAUCUGAAACUGUUUUUCUUGAGUACUGGAGAGGAAAGUGGAAUUCCUAGUGUAGCGGUGAAAUGCGUAGAGAUUAGGAGGAACACCAGUGGCGAAGGCGGCUUUCUGGACAGUAACUGACGCUGAGGCGCGAAAGCGUGGGGAGCAAACAGGAUUAGAUACUCCCGUAGUC
RNAcentral lists this ribosomal RNA (442 nucleotides) under uncultured bacterium. RNAcentral describes it as "partial 16S ribosomal RNA". It matches the Rfam family "Bacterial small subunit ribosomal RNA", at positions 339 to 795 of the family's 1533-position model. The record is from RNAcentral.